GCUCGUGUAGCUCAGUCGGUUAGAGCGCCAGCCUUAUGAGCUGGAUGUCGCGGGUUCGAUCCCCGCCUCGAGCA
This 74-nucleotide transfer RNA is filed under the name Giardia muris. It matches the Rfam family "tRNA". Rfam says of the family: Transfer RNA (tRNA) molecules are approximately 80 nucleotides in length. Their secondary structure includes four short double-helical elements and three loops (D, anti-codon, and T loops). Lineage: Eukaryota; Fornicata; Diplomonadida; Hexamitidae. The record is from Rfam by way of RNAcentral.